UUUCUUGCUUGUUGCUAACACUAGUUGUAUUUUUUGCGUGUUUCCCGUUUAGAUUCUGAAUGAAAAUGGAUCAACGACUGAAUUUUCUCGUUCGUCUUGAUAGUCUGAGGAUGAUGGCAUGGGCGGGAGGAGGAAGAAGGGCAUCAAGGAUAAGAUCAAGGAGAAGCUUCCGGGUGGCCACGGUGACCAGCAGCAGACCGCUGGCACCUACGGGCAGCAGGGUCACACAGGAAUGACCGGCACUGGGGCGCAUGGCACCACGGCCACUGGCGGCACCUACGGGCAGCAGGGAGACACCGGAAUGACCGGCACGGGGACGCACGGCACCGACGGCGCCGGCGAGAAGAAAGGCAUCAUGGACAAGAUCAAGGAGAAGCUGCCCGGACAGCACUGAGCCCGUCCCACGGCAGCUACUUGAGAGUUGAGGUGCCGAUCUGGCCACCUUUGCAGAAUAAUAAGAUGGAGAUGCAGUAAAACAUCCCGAAAUAAAGUGAGCUAGCUCACUUGUAAUAUCUGAGUUCUGAGUUUGCUGCACUAGAAUUUGGGUUGCUUGUAUGUGCCCGGGACGUUUUGUACUCUGUACUUCGAUGUGUGAUUUUUUUUUGGUUUCACUGUGUAUGUAUGGGGAUGUGUAUCGUGGUAUAAUACAAUAUAUUUUGCCCUUUUACUUGAGCAACUUUUGAAAAUUUCUAGGCAAUUUUUGGAAGUAUCGAAAAAUAAGGCACACCAAAAAUACACAUACAGAUCUUGAAUUUACCAACUCAGAGGAUGUCGCAUGCGCUGUGGAUCGUUAAUGAACGGCACUGUCGGAGAUCAACAAAACAGAGUGCAUAGCGACCAAAGGAAAAUCCGCACCACCGAAAGUUUUCUUCUAUGCUCGAGCUCACAUGCACACUGAUGAAUAGUAAAAUAUAAAUAAAUAAAUUUUAAAGAUCUGAUUUUUUUUACACACACCGAUGAAUGUUUUACCUACCUGCAAAGUUUUCAUAAUGGAUUGAUAUUUGUGGUGGUCAGGGCAAUAAAAACAAAAUCAAUGCUUCAAAAUUAGUCUUUUUGGAGCAUUUGAUUUUUCGUUUUGCCCAGAGCUCCACGAAAGUGAUUUCAUCACGAAAGUUUGCAUGCAUGCAAAACAGUUAUUAGUGUUUAUUAAAAACGGACAUAAUUGUUUGAUUUUUCUUUGAUUUUACUGUUCAUAUGGGUGCAUAUAAGCUCGGGAUUAGAAGCUCCAUGUUCACCCACCAUUUAAUUGAUUCAUACACAAACUUUUUUUCUCGAAUACAUAUGAAUGUGCGUGCUUUAUAUUAAAGAAGAGAGGGGGGCGGCAAAGAGCCCUUCCACGACGGGUUUAGUAGUUCUUACAUACAGCCAACUCCAUGCCCACUCCACGUCUAAGUCAAUCUAUUGCUAACUCCUCGCGUCACUACCCACCGUUAGAGCUACUAAGAAACUAUCAAUGUCCGUCUUGAUAAUGCCCGCCGUCUUCCAUGAUCUACGCUCAACCUCUAUUCUAUGAAUUAUGCUUUUCAAAGACAGUGUGGCGCCGUCGAAUACGAUCGCAUUGCGGUGCUUCCAUUCAAGAACAACAAAACGAUCCACUAAUCUCUAGAUUAAGAGUAUGCAUCCCCAUAAGUUCAUCCACCAUGCAACUCAACAAAAAGCUCGUCUCGCUACACCUCCAACAUGCAACAACGUGCAUCACUGUCCACCCUAUACGCCUCAGAAGCGACAGUGCUCCAACACCCCUUGAGAUAUUAUGUGCCCCGAUCUACAUCCUCCCUCCCCGAGGCGCUCCCGCGGGCGCCCCGGGAGAAAACCCUAGCGCCGCCCCCUUCGCCUCAACCUCCUCCCUCGCUGCCGCCUGGGGCGUCACCGGCGAAAGGCCGUGUGGCGUUGGUCGCGGCGGGGCGGCUCUCUCCCGCACGUAGUUGGGACUCCGCGGGGCGUUCCCAUCUGCCUGGUGGUGCCGGGCGUCGGGCCGGCCCUGCCUCCGCUCCUUCUCCCCUCCCAGCAUCCCUCGCUGGCGCCGCCUCAUCCCCUCUGUCGGUGUCAAAACCGGCGGAUCUCGGGUAGGGGGUCCCGAACUGUGCGUCUAAGGUCGAUUGUUUGCAGGAGACGGGGGACACGAUGUUUACCCAGGUUCAGGCCCUCUUUAUGGAGGUAAUACCCUACUUCCUGCUUGAUUGAUCUUGAUGAAUAUGAGUAUUACAAGAGUUGAUCUACCACGAGAUCAUAAUGGCUAAACCCUAGAAGUCUAGCCUGGAUGACUAAGGUAAUGAGUCUCCUCCUAUCCGGACUACGCUCUCCGGUUUAUAUAGGCACCGGAGAGAUCUAGGGUUACAUGGAGUCGGUUACAUAGAAAGGAAUCUACACGAUUGAUCGCCACGCUUGCCUUCCACGCCAAGGAGAGUCCUCUCCGGACACGGGAGCCGUCUUCGGUCUUCGUAUCUGUACAGCCCAUCAGUCCGGCCCACGGAUAACAGGCCGGACGCCCGAGGACCCCUUAGUCCAGGACUCCCUCAGUAGCCCCUGAACCUGACUUCAAUGACGAGGAGUCCGGCGCGCAGAUCUGUCUUCGGCAUUGCAAGGCGGAUUCCCUUCUAUCCGGACCCCAAGGUAAUCUUCAGAUGUAACAAUUGUAUCCGGACCUGUAUACAUAACUGCAGAGGAUAUAUAAUAUUUCACGAGUCCGAUCCGCUGGCAACUUUUCGGUAAUAUGACGUCACACCUGCUCGGCCAUUAUUUUCGAAUCGUUCUGGCUGGCCCGCCGUCCCACGUUUCGAGACGUGGUUCUAUUGGCACGUCUUAUCCAAGCGGCGAUCAUGUCCUUCUUUUAAGGGAUUCUUAUCAACCCAGACAUGGGUAAUCCAACCGUCACUUGGGCACAACUGCUUGGGAAUGGGCAAGUUUUGAGGCCCAGGAGGAGACGUUCGAUAUUUGCGGUCUUUAUAUAGGGGUACAGACCCGUCUUUUUCUUUCACGCUUGCUUCUCCCUCAACCCCCGCUACCUCGAGUUCCAACACCCGGGUUUCAAUCUCCACAAGCUCCAAUCAUGUCCGGAUCCAACCGUCAAGGCCGGUGGGUGGCUUCUUCUAUCACAGAGGGAGAGAUCGCAAAGCUUCGGGCGGCGAGGUACUUGACCGCGGAAAUCCUUCAUCGGCUUCCUGCAGAGGGGUAGGUUAUUCCCACUCCCAGAUCCAGCGAGAGGGUCGUGUUCGUGUCCCACUUCCUACGCGGGUUAGGGUUUGCACUUAACCCCUUUGUCCGGGGGCUCAUGUUCUAUUAUGGGCUAGAUUUUCAUGAUCUGGCCCCGCACUCAAGCCUUCCUCCGAACUCCUCCGCACUUCGGCUUGUGGCUCAAGACCUUCAAGGUGGAGCCGCUAGUGACAGAGGGGGAGCAAGUAGAGUGCGGCGGCGCCGUAGUGAGCAAGCUUGCUAGCGCUGUUUGGCUGAAAGGAUCCUUUGGCAAGUCUUCAGAUCUGUGGCAGCAGGGGUGGUUCUACAUCAUCGAACCCCGUGGCUCCAAGUGGGCAGCUGCACCCGCAUUUCGAUCCAGCCCCCCAACUCAGCCUGCGUCGUGGAUCAAUAAGGGGUUGGACUGGAGAGCAACGGACGAGGUGCAGACUUUGCAAAGUCGCAUCCGAAACCUCAUUGAGAGGGACAUCAACAUCGUCAACGUUGUCCAAGUAAUGCUGGACCGCCGGACCCUACCGUUCCCGUGAGGGCCACUCCGCACGUGGGAGUUCAAUCCGGAAGGGCCGCGGACUCUUCAGCACUUCUUCGGCACUACACACGAAGGAAUGUGGAGAUUAUUCUUCGGGAAACGAAAACAAUGGCCGGACACCACCGAAGAUAUCGGCCUUGACUGCAGCCAUCCGGACACCCCGGUAAGUACCCGUUUGCCGAACACCUCAUAAUCAGAUACCCAUUGAUAAGAUACUGACUGAAUCAUCCUUUUUCAGGGCUGGAUAAAGAAAGUGGAACGGAUUAGGUGUCCGGCUCCCCUUCCCGAAGACUCAGCUACUCCUAUGUUAACAAGGAUGCUGGCCUCGACACCGUAUCAGGCGCCGGCGAGGGGGGUAAAGAGGAGAGUAAAAAGACCCAAGAUGACCUUCGUUCCGGAGGUAAGUCAGAUACUGAGUCGGGAGAAAUCGACCUUUCCUCGCCUGAAGACAGAGGCAAAAAAGGACCCAGCAUCCCUUCUCCGAGUAGGAGGAAAAGGGCCGCCUCUGAAGAUUGGGAGGGGCGGUCUCCCAAGAAGGGCAAGAUGCCACCGUUGAGAGGCUUGGGCUUGGAAAGCGACGCCGUCGAACGGCUCCAACAAGGGGACAAGCCCUCGGCCAAACCGUAAGUGAAUCCGGAGUACUUUGACAAUGUCCCGCUCCGUCGCUAUCGCCGAAGAUAUACGUGACGCGUUCAUGCAUUUUUACAGGUCGGCACAGAGUUUUUCUGGGCAAUCCUCUUCUUCGGGAAGUCUCCUCCCAGAGAUGAUGGAGAGCGAGAUGCCUCCUCCAACCUCCUCUCCCAGUAAGGCGGAUGACUCUGAAGUGUCAUCGCGGAGGGUCCCGGUUAGUCAACAGGUUACACCGGGGAAAGAAGAGGUAGUAACCGAAGGUGGAUCUCCAACCAUCCGGGAUUCUGGGGCUGAUGAUAACAAAGGCCCCGGACUGUCUGGCCCGCAGCCGACAGCGAUUCUGGAGAUGGGUGAACAGAUUCCUUCAAAGGAUGGUCGGGCUUCUAGAGCGGCUUCCGAAGACCCAGAGACUCCGGAUAUAUUGCGGGACAUGUUGGGAAAAGCAUCUGUCUCGGGAGAGCAGCGUACCUUGAUGGGUACAUUGGUUGAGAAGACUUUGUCCGCGAAGAGCGGUUUGAAUGAAGCCUUCAUGAGCCUGCUAAAAGGCUUCGAGGUUUGUGAUCAAAUAUGUUUUAUUUGCAAAGAUGUGCCUGUGUAUAGGUAGUAGCCCCUGAGACUCGGGUUGGCUUCCACUGGGAAGCAACCGGAGGAUCAAAAAAAUGAUCGUUUGAGGACUAACCUGAUAAACUUGAACACAGGCUGCUUCCCCUUUGGCCACUUCCUGGACUACGGAGAUUGUCGAGCUGCAGCGGAAGCUUGAUGUGGCAGGGGAUGAUCUUGCAUUAAUCAAUAUGCGUCUUGACGAGUCGCAAGGUAUGUACUCGGGGUAAUCCCCAGACAUUUUAUGUGGUAUAAGCAUGAUGCUGAAAUCUGAAUGCUGGAAUAUGUGUGGCUGCAGAUGGUGCUGCCGCCAUUGAAGUUCUUCGAGCGGAGCUGGCUCGGGCCAAGGAGCAGGCCCGACAUAGCGAUGCUGCUGCCGAAAAGGCAUCGGCUGAGCUAAAAGCUGAACAAGCUGCACGGCGCCAAGAUGAGGAGAAGAUAUCCACGGUGGCGCUCGAACUGGAAAAUGCUACUGGCCGCUGCAAAUUUCUGGAGAAGGAGAAUAAAGCCUUAACGGCUGAACUGGACAAGGCCUUACUAGAGGAGAGGGAAGCUCAAUCGGAAUCCAGAGCAACCCUUGAGGAUGUUCGGCAGGCUAGGGAGAUUGUGGCUGGGAAGCCCUUUCUGCUGCAAACUAAGUUCGGUGACCCGAACUAUGCUCAGCUUAACGAAGUGUCGAGUUCUCCGGACGAGUUCUUGAACUUGUCGAAGAGUUCUUCCGAUGCGGCGCAAUAUUACCAAGUGCGAGAUGGGUAUGCAACGGAGAAGCUUUUUUGGUCGCAGUUUGGCACAUCAAAGCGCCCCCUGUUGCUCAAUGAACAGAUGUCCCAAUGGGCCGAACUUCAUCGGAUAUCCAGUGCUGCCAUGAAGGAUGUCAUAAUCCGGUUGUGGCCAACUGAGCCUAUUCCGGAUAGCUACUUUGGUUUGGUACAAAGACUUGUUGACGCGGUGCUGCAAAUCGAUGCUGUGAAGCGGUCAGCGUGCAUUGAAGGUGCACGGAUGGCCUUUGCCCGAGUCAAGACAUUCUGAGGAAAGAUGAAGGCCAUCGAUGUUGCGGCGAAGAGUCCACCCAAAGGCAAGGACCGUCCAGAACCGGAACAUUAUUUUGAAGAUGUCCUAGAGGCCGCCCGCUUCAUAGAGGGCCAGUGCUCGAAAGACAUAAUAUUUGAGUGAGGUGUAUCAAAAUUGUAGAAGAAAAAUUUAUAGUUAAUCUAUUUUCAUGUUUUGCUCGAAAGCUUGAAUUCCUCGUGUGUGGCCGUGUUAAUAUAAUCUGAAAGUUUUCCAGUCGUCAGCUUCAGCCCCCUUGUAGGAAGUACGGGGGUGUUCGGAAAGCAUUUAAUCACUCUUUAUCCAACGUCUUGGUCCAUGAAGGAGGUGAUAAUGCGGCGAACUAGGCAAUCGGACUAUAAGGCAUUAACACUUUCACUUAGCCAUAGGAGUUUUAUGGUGGGACUACGACAUAGCCCCUCGUAUGUAUGCGGCGUAUGAUGCCUUACAUAUUUGAUCUGAAACAGAUCCCUCGUGUGACAGGAGAAUCGCUAAGGAUUCCAAGAAGUCAUCAAGUGGUUGACCAGCUCUCGCCGCAUCAUGACAGUCAGUUUUCGGCUUUCUCUACCGAGGUCCUCAUCCGGUUUAGACCAGGGCACAAUCGCAGUAGUUCUCCCUUUACUACCCUAGCCGAUAGAGCGGAACGUAGGGUAGCAAGCACAGGAGCCGGGCAACCCAACUAUUGACCCAAGACAAUGAUUCGGAGCUGAUGCAUAUAAGGCCAAACUUGCGACGCCGAAGUACACUAUAGAGUUGUUCAGACUUUUACUGGCGACUCAUUUGUUCCCACACCGAGCCCCUGGCAUGUUAUGCCAAGGUAUUUCUGUGAAAUAACUGUAGGAGCCAUAUUUGUUGGAGAAACAACACGGAUUAUUAGUUCGGAUACUGUUUACUAGGACUGAGCGAUAUGCCAAUGAUCACUUAUGAUAUAUAAAAGCCAUCCUCCCGGCUAUUUGACAUGCUCGGGGUUGGAGGCGGAGGAACGGGCAUAGUACAGGCUCAAAAAAUAGAGAAUGCGGUCUACAAAAAGUUAUUUUGGACCUCCUGUCGCACGUCUGCGCCGCCAGUCGUCGGUGGGGGGAAUCCUUUAUGGAAAUGGCCCCGUAGGUGAGUGUACGGAUCCGGACUCCGAUAGAGCCAGUUUCAGAUGUUUAUCCUGUUCGUCACCUAUUUUUAAAAGGAUAGCGAAGGAAGAAAUAAAAAGAUAAUAAAUAAUAAUAAUAAAAAGUUAUUGGAGUGCUUGCAGGUUUGUCCGUAUUGUGAUUCCGCCAAUACCCAUGGUAUCUUGAUCCCCGGGUAUGCGUAGUACAAACUUUGUAGGUGCACGGAGUGGGCCGCGGAAGCCGGGUUGCUAUUUCCGUUCUAGGAGUAGUUGAUCCCCGGGUGGAGAUUGCUUCUAACCCCCGGAGUUUCGUUGGCGAACCUUUCCGUCAUUCCUGUCGCCUGGCGGCUUCUUCCCCUUCUGCUCGGCGUUGAGCUUGCCGGCUUGUUUGAAGACCCUGCAGUUUCUGUUAGUAUGAUUAGCUGGUUUGUCGGGGUGGCCGUGAAUCUGGCAGGGUCGGUCCAAUAUCAUGUCCAGGUUGGAUGGUUCGUCUUGUUUCGCCUUGAAUGGCUUCUCCCGUUGACCGGGCUUGGGAUUGCUGAAUCCGGCGUUGACCGCCGUGUCGCGUGAUCUUUCAUUAUCAUUGCGACUGUUUUUUUGCUUCGUCGUGGCUUGCCGUUGCCGUCUCGGAUUUCGGAAAUGCCCGGGUCGUUGGCGCUAUCGCUUCUACGAGCGAGUGAUACGUCUCCAACGUAUCUAUAAUUUUUUAUUGUUCCAUGCUAUAUUAUAUUCUGUUUUGGACAUUAUUGAGCUUUAUUAUACACUUUUAUAUUAUUUUUGGGACUAACCUAUUAACCGGAGGCCCAGCCUAGAAUUGUUGUUUUUUUGCCUAUUUCAGAGUUUCACAGAAAAAGAAUAUCAAACGGAGUCCAAACAGAAUGAAACCUUCGGGAACGUGAUUUUCGGAACGAACGUGAUCCAGAGGACUUGGACCCUACGUCAAGACAUCAACCAGGAAGGCACGAUGUAGGGGGGCACGCCUACCCCCUCAGGGCGCGCCCUCCACCCUCGUGGGCCCCACGUUGCUCCACCGACGUACUUCUUCCUCCUAUAUAUACCUAAGUACCGCCAAACUACCAGAUACGGAGCCAAAAACCUAAUUCCACCGCCGCAACAUUCUGUACCCGUGAGAUCGCAUCUUGGGGCCUGUUCCGGAGCUCCGCCGGAGGGGGCAUCUAUCACGGAGGGCUUCUACAUCAACACCAUAGCCUCUCCGAUGAAGUGUGAGUAGUUUACCUCAGACCUUCGGGUCCAUAGUUAUUAGCUAGAUGGCUUCUUCUCUCUUUUUGGAUCUCAAUACAAUGUUCUCCCCCUCUCUUGUGGAGAUCUAUUCGAUGUAAUCUUGUUUUGCGGUGUGUUUGUUGAGACCGAUGAAUUGUGGGUUUAUGAUCAAGUUUAUCUAUGAACAAUAUUUGAAUCUUCUCUGAAUUCUUUUAUGUAUGAUUGGUUAUCUUUGCAAGUCUCUUCGAAUUAUCAGUUUGGUUUGGCCUACUAGAUUGAUCUUUCUUGCAAUGGGAGAAGUGCUUAGCUUUGGGUUCAAUCUUGUGGUGUCCUUUCCCAGUAACAGUAGGGGCAGCAAGGCACGUAUUGUAUUGUUGCCAUCGAGGAUAACAAGAUGGGGUUUAGAUCAUAUUGCCUGAGUUUAUCCCUCUACAUCAUGUCAUCUUGCUUAAAGCGUUACUCUGUUCUUAUGAACUUAAUACUCUAGAUGCAUGCUGGAUAGCGGUCGAUGUGUGGAGUAAUAGUAGUAGAUGCAGGCAAGAGUCGGUCUACUUGUCUCGGACGUGAUGCCUAUAUACAUGAUCAUACCUGGAUAUUCUAAUUACUAUGCUCAAUUCUGUCAAUUGCUCAACAGUAAUUUGUUCACCCACCGUAAUACUUAUGCUCUUGAGAGAAGCCACUAGUGAAACCUAUGGCCCCCGGGUCUAUUUUCCAUCAUAUUCAAUCUCCCGACAACAACCUAUUUCUGACGCCAUUUUUACUUUGUUUACUUUACUUUGCAUCUUUAUCAUAAAAAUACCAAAAAUAUUAUCUUAUCAUAUCUAUCAGAUCUCACUCUCGUAAGUGACCGUGAAGGGAUUGACAACCCCUUUAUUGCGUUGGUUGCGAGGAUUUAUUUGUUUGUGUAGGUGCGAGGGGCUUGCGCGUGGCCUCCUACUGGAUUGAUACCUUGGUUCUCAAAAACUGAGGGAAAUACUUACGCUACUUUGCUGCAUCACCCUUUCCUCUUCAAGGGAAAACCAACGCAGUGCUCAAGAGGUAGCAAGAAGGAUUUCUGGCGCCGUUGCCGGGGAGUCUACGCAAAAGUCAACAUACCAAGUACCCAUCACAAACCCUUAUCUCCCGCAUUACAUUGUUUGCCAUUUGCCUCUCGUUUUCCUCUCCCCCACUUCACCCUUGCCGUUUUAUUCGCCCUCUCUUUUCCAUUUGCCUCUUUUUGCCUGUCUCCUGUUUGCUCAUGUGUUGGAUUGCUUGCUUGUCAUGAUGGCUCAAGAUAAUACUAAAUUGUGUGACUUCACCAAUACCAACAACAAUGAUUUCCUUAGCACUCUGAUUUCUCCUCUUACCGAUACUGAAUCUUGUGAAAUCAAUGCUGCUUUGUUGAAUCUUGUCAUUAAAGAUCAAUUCGCCGGCCUUCCUAGUGAAGAUGCCGCUACCCAUCUAAAUAGCUUCGUUGAUUUGUGUGAUAUGCAAAAGAAGAAAGAUGUGGAUAAUGAUAUUGUUAAACUGAAUCUAUUUCCCUUUUCGCUUAGAGAUCGUGCUAAAGCUUGGUUUUCAUCUUUGCCUAAAAAUAGUAUUGAUUCUUGGAAUAAGUGAAAAGAUGCUUUUAUCUCUAAAUAUUUUCCUCCCGCUAAGAUCAUCUCUCUUAGAAACGAUAUUAUGAAUUUUAAGCAACUUUCAUGAACAUGUUGCACAAGAUUGGAGAGGAUGAAAUUAAUGAUACGUAAUUGCCCUACACAUGGUUUGAAUUUAUGGAUGAUUAUACAAAUUUUUUAUGCCGGAUUGAAUUUUGCUUCUAGAAAUCUUUUAGACUCGGCCGCGGGAGGCACUUUUAUGGAAAUCACUUUAGGAGAAGCUACUAAACUCCUAGAUAAUAUUAAGGUUAAUUAUUCUCAAUGGCACACUGAAAGAUCUACUAGUAAAAAGGUGCAUGCGGUAGAAUAAAUUAAUGUUUUGAGUGGAAAGAUGGAUGAACUUAUGAAAGUAUUUGCUACUAGGAGUGUUUCUUCUGAUCCUAAUGAUAUGCCUUUGUCUACUUUGAUUGAGCAUAAUAAUGAAUCUAUGGAUGUAAAUUUUGUUGGUAGGAAUAAUUUUGGUAACAACGCGUAUAGUAGAAACUUUAAUCCUAGGCCUUAUCCUAGCAAUUCCUCUAAUAAUUAUGAUAAUUCCUACAACAAUUCUUAUGGAACUUUAAUAAGAUGCCCUCUGAAUUUGAGACUAGUGUUAAGGAGUUUAUGAAUUCACAAAAGAAUUUCAAUGCUUUGCUCGACGAAAAAUUGCUUAAAGUUGAUGAAUUGGCUAGGAACAUUGAUAGAUUUUCUCUUGAUAUUGAUUCUUUGAAACUUAGAUCUAUUCCACCUAAGCAUGAUAUCAAUGAGUCUCUCAAAGCCAUGAGAAUUUCCAUUGAUGAAUGCAAAGAAAGAACCGCUAGGAUGCGUGCUAAGAAAGAUUGCUUUGUAAAAGCGUGUUCUUCUAGUUCCUACGAAAAUAAAGAUGAAGAUCCAAAAGUUAUUGAUGUGUCCCCUAUUAAACCUUUGUUUAGAAAUAUGAAUCUUGAUAAUGAUGGGACUGAAUAUGAUCCACCUCUACCUAGAAGGUGUUCCAAAAAUUCGGAGUUUUUAGACCUUGAUGCUAAAAUUGGUAAAAGUGGGAUUGAAGAGAUCAAAACUCUAGAUAUUAAUGAACCCACUAUUUUGGAUUUCAAGGAAUUUAAUUAUGAUAAUUGCUCUGUGAUAGAUUGUAUUUCCUUGUUGCAAUCCGUUCUAAAUUCUCCUCAUGCUUAUAGUCAAAAUAAAGCUUUUACUAAACAUAUCGUUGAUGCUUUGAUGCAAUCUUAUGAAGAAAAACUUGAUUUGGAAGUUUCUAUCCCUAGAAAACUCUAUGAUGAGUGGGAACCUACUAUUGAAAUUAAAAUUAAAGAUCAUGAAUGCUAUGCUUUGUGUGAUUUGGGUGCUAGUGUUUCCACGAUUCCAAAGACUUUGUGUGAUUUGUUAGGUUUCCGUGAUUUUGAUGAUUGCUCUUUAAACUUGCACCUUGCGGAUUCCACCAUUAAGAAACCUAUGGGAAGAAUUAAUGAUGUUCUUAUUGUUGCAAAUAGAAACUAUGUGCCCGUAGAUUUUAUUGUUCUUGAUAUCGAUUGCAAUCCUUCAUGUCCUAUCAUUCUUGGUAGACCUUUCCUUAGAACGAUCGGUGCAAUUACUGAUAUGAAGGAAGGAAAUAUUAGAUUCCAAUUUCCGUUAAGGAAAGGCAUGGAACACUUUCCUAGAAAGAAAAUAAAAUUACCAUAUGAAUCUAUCAUGAGAGCCACUUACGAAUUGCCUACCAAAGAUGGCAAUACCUAGAUCUAUCCUUGCCUUUAUGCCUAGCUAGGGGCGUUAAACGAUAGCGCUUGUUGGGAGGCAACCCAAUUUUUUUUUGCUUUUUGCUUCUGUUUAGGAAUAAAUAUUUGAUCUAGCCUCUGGUUAGACUUGUUUUUAUGUUUUAAUUAGUGUUUGUGCCAAGUUAAACCUAUAGGAUCUUCUCGGAUGAUAGUUAUUUGAUUUUGCUAUAAAUUUCAGAAACUUUCUAUUCACGCAAAUAAUUGUUUAAAAUUACCAGAACGCGAUAAAAUAUUGAUUCCAAUUGCUGCUGAUCAAUAAAGAAAUUUUCUAGGUCGUCCUAUUUUGGCUGAAGUUUUGGAGUUCCAGAAGUUUGCGUUACUUACAGAUUACUACAGACUGUUCUGUUUUUGACAGAUUCUGUUUUUCGUGUGUUGUUUGCUUAUUUUGAUGAAUCUAUGGCUAGUAAAAUAGUUUAUAAACCAUAGAGAACUUGGAAUACAGUAGGAUUAACACCAAUAUAAAUAAAUAAUGAGUUCAUUACAGUAUCUUGAAGUGGUGUUUUGUUUUCUUUCGCUAACGGAGCUCACGAGAUUUUAUGUUAAGUUUUGUGUUGUGAAGUUUUCAAGUUUUGGGUGAAAGAUUUGAUGGAUUAUGGAAUAAGGAGUGGCAAGAGCCUAAGCUUGGGGAUGCCCAUGGCACCCCAAGAUAAUCUAAGGACACCAAAAAUCCAAAUCUUGGGGAUGCCCCGGAAGGCAUCCCCUCUUUCGUCUACUUCCAUCGGUAACUUACUUGGAGCUAUAUUUUUAUUCACCACAUGAUAUGUGUUUUGCUUGGAGCGUUUUUAUGAUUUGAGUCUUUGCUUUUUAGUUUACCACAAUCAUCCUUGCUGUACACACCUUUUGAGAGAGACACACAUGAUUCGGAAAUUAUUUUAAUACUCUAUGUGCUUCACUUAUAUCUUUUGAGCUAUAUAGUUUUUGCUCUAGUACUUCACUUAUAUCUUUUAGAGCACGGUGGUAACUUUUGUUUUAUAGAAACUAUUAUUCUCUCAUGCUUCACUUAGAUUCUUUUGAGAGUCUUAAAUAGCAUGGUAAUUUGCUUAAUCCUAAUAUGCUAGGUAUUCAAGACUAGUACAAACUUUCUUAUGAGUGUGUUGAAUACUAAGAGAAGUUAGAUGCUUGAUGAUUGUUUGAGAUAUGGAGGUAGUGAUAUCAAAGUUGUGCUAGUUGAGUAGUUGUGAAUUUGAGAAAUACUUGUGUUGAAGUUUGCAAGUCCCGUAGCAUGCACGUAUGGUAAACGUUAUGUAACAGAUUUGAAACAUGAGGUGUUCUUUGAUAGUCCUCCUUAUGAGUGGCGGUCGGGGACGAGCGAUGGUCUUUCCCUACCAAUCUAUCCCCCUAGGAGCAUGCGCGUAGUGCUUGGUUUUUGAUGACUUGUAGAUUUUUGCAAUAAGUAUGUGAGUUCUUUAUGACUAAUGUUGAGUCCAUGGAUUAUACACACUCUCACCUUUCCAUCAUUGCUAGCCUCUUCGGUACCGUGCAUUGCCCUUUCUCAUACUGAGAGUAGGUGCAAACUUCGCCGGUGCAUCCAAACCGCGUGAUAUGAUACGCUCUUUCACACAUAAACCUCCUUAUAUCUUCCUCAAAACAGCCACCAUACCUACCUAUUAUGGCAUUUCCAUAGCCAUUCCGAGAUAUAUUGCCAUGCAACUUUCCACCAUUCCGUUUAUCAUGACACAUUCAUCAUUGUCAUAUUGCUUUGCAUAAUCAUGUAGUUGACAUAGUAUUUGUGGUAAAGCCACCAUUCAUAAGUCUUUCAUACAUGUCACUCUUGGUUCAUUGCAUAUCCCGGUACACCGCCGGAGGCAUUCAUAUGGAGUCAUACUUUGUUCUAGUAUCGAGUUGUAAUCAUUGAGUUGUAAAUAAAUAGAAGUGUGAUGAUCAUCAUUUUCUAAAGCAUUGUCCCAAGCGAGGAAAAAUAAAAAAAUAAAAAAGGGGAGAAAGGCCAUAAAAAAGAAGGCCCAAAAAAAUGAGAGAAAAAGAGAGAAGGGACAAUGUUACUAUCCUUUUUACCACAUUGUGCUUCAAAGUAGCACCAUAAUCUUCAUGAUAGAGAGUCUUUUGUUUUGUCACUUUCAUAUACUAGUGGGAACUUUUCAUUAUAGAACUUGGCUUGUAUAUUCCAACAAUGGGCUUCCUCAAAUUCCCUAGGUCUUCAUGAGCAAGCAAGUUGGAUGCACACCCACUUAGUUUCUUUUGUUGAGCUUUCAUAUAUUUAUAGCUCUAGUGCAUCCGUUGCAUGGCAAUCCCUACUCCUUGCAUUAACAUCAAUAGAUGGGCAUCUCCAUAGCUCAUUGGUUAGCCUCGUUGAUGUGAGACUUUCUACUUUUUUGUCUUCUCCACAUAACCCCCAUCAUUAUAUUCUAUUCCACCCAUAGUGCUAUAUCCAUGGCCCACGCUCAUGUAUUGCGUGAAGGUUGAAAAAGUUUGAGAGUACUAAAGUAUGAAACAAUUGCUUGGCUUGUCAUUGGGGUUGUGCAUGAUGAGAGCAUUCUUGUGCGACGAAAAUGGAGCAUGACUAAACUAUAUGAUUUUGUAGGGAUGAACUUUCUUUGGCCAUGUUAUUUUGAGAGGACAUAUUGCUUAGUUAGUAUGCUUGAAGUAUUAUUAUUUUUAUGUCAAUAUUGAACUUUUAUCUUGAAUUUUUCGGAUCUGAAUAUUCAUACCACAAUUAAGAAGAAUUACAUUGAAAUUAUGCCAAGUAGCAUUCCACAUCAAAAAUUCUGUUUUUAUCAUUUACCUACUCGAGGACGAGCAGGAAUUAAGCUUGGGGAUGCUUGAUACGUCUCCAACGUAUCUAUAAUUUUUUAUUGUUCCAUGCUAUAUUAUAUUCUGUUUUGGACAUUAUUGGGCUUUAUUAUACACUUUUAUAUUAUUUUUGGGACUAACCUAUUAACCGGAGGCCCAGCCUAGAAUUGUUGUUUUUUGCCUAUUUCAGAGUUUCGCAGAAAAAGAAUAUCAAACGGAGUCCAAACGGAAUGAAACCUUCAGGAACGUGAUUUUCGGAACGAACGUGAUCCAGAGGACUUGGACCCUACGUCAAGACAUCAACCAGGAAGGCGCGAGGUAGGGGGGCGCGCCUACCCCCCCCCCCAGGGCGCGCCCUCCACCCUCGUGGGCCCCAUGUUGCUCCACCGACGUACUUCUUCCUCCUAUAUAUACCUACGUACCCCCAAACUAUCAGAUACGGAGCCAAAAACCUAAUUCCACCGCCGCAACCUUCUGUACCCGUGAGAUCCCAUCCUGGGGCCUGUUCCGGAGCGCUGCCGGAGGGGGCAUCAAUCACGGAGGGCUUCUGCAUCAACACCAUAGCCUCUCCGAUGAAGUGUGAGUAGUUUACCUCAGACCUUCGGGUCCAUACUUAUUAGCUAGAUGGCUUCUUCUCUCUUUUUGGAUCUCAAUACAAUGUUCUCUCCAUCUCUUGUGGAGAUCUAUUCGUUGUAAUCUUGUUUUGCGGUGUGUUUGUUGAGACUGAUGAAUUGUGGGUUUAUGAUCAAGUUUAUCUCUGAACAAUAUUUGAAUCUUCUCCGAAUUAUUUUAUGUAUGGUUGGUUAUCUUUGCAAGUCUCUUCGAAUUAUCAGUUUGGUUUGGCCUACUAGAUUGAUCUUUGUUGCAAUGAGAGAAGUGCUUAGUUUUGGGUUCAAUCUUGCGGUGUCCUUUCCCAGUGACAGUAGGGGCAGCAAGGCACGUAUUGUAUUGUUGCCAUCGAGGAUAACAAGAUAUGUCAUCUUGCUUAAAAUGUUACUCUGUUCUUAUGAACUUAAUACUCUAGAUGCAUGCUGGAUAGCGGUCGAUGUGUGGAGUAAUAGUAGUAGAUGCAGGCAGGAGUGGGUCUACUUGUCUCGGACGUGAUGCCUAUAUACAUGAUCAUACCUAGAUAUUCUCAUAACUAUGCUCAAUUCUAUCAAUUGCUCAAUAGUAAUUUGUUCACCCACCGUAAUACUUAUGCUGUUGAGAGAAGCCACUAGUGAAACCUAUGGCCCCCGGGUUUUAUUUCCAUCAUAUUCAAUCUCCCGACAACAAGCUAUUUCUGACGCCGUUUUUACUUUGUUUACUUUACUUUGCAUCUUUAUCAUAAAAAUACCAAAAAUAUUAUCUUAUCAUAUCUAUCAGAUCUCACUCUCGUAAGUGACCGUGAAGGGAUUGACAACCCCUUUAUUGCAUUGGUUGCGAGGAUUUAUUUGAUUGUGUAGGUGCGAGGGACUUGCGCGUGGCCUCCUACUGGAUUGAUACCUUGGUUCUCAAAAACUUAGGGAAAUACUUAAGCUACUUUGCUGCAUCACCCUUUCCUCUUCAAGGGAAAACCAACGCCGUGCUCAAGAGGUAGCAGCGAGCCCGCUGUCUUCUCCCGCGCAAAAGCGGUUCAUCAGAGCAGUGAGGGCUGUCAUGGAUUUAGGUCCUUCUUGGCCGAGGUGGCGUGCAAGCCAUUCGUCCCGGACGCUAUGUCUAAAGGCCGCAAGGGCUUCUGCCCGGACAGUCGAAGAUUUGGUUCUUUUUAACUAAGAACCGAGUCCAGAGCUUCCUGGCUGAUUCUCCGGGCUGCUGGACAAUGUGACUUAGGUCAUCGGCAUCCGGUGGCCGGACAUAUGUUCCUCGGAAGUUAUCGAGGAAAGCCUCUUCCAAGUCCUCCUAGCUGCCUAUGGAAUUUUCAGGCAGGCUGUUUAACCAGUGCCGAGCUGGUCCUUUUAGCUUUAGUGGGAGGUAUUUAUUGGCGUGGAGGUCGUCCCCACGGGCCAUAUGGAUGUGGAGGAUAAAAUCUUCUAUCCAUACUGUGAGAUCGGCUGUGCCGUCGUAUGAUUCAAUAUUGACGGGUUUGAAUCCUUCGGGGAAUUCAUGAUCCAUUACUUCAUCAGUGAAGCAUAGCGGGUGUGCGGCUCCUCUAUGUUGGGCCACAUUGCGACGUAACUCUGAAGGAGUCCCUUUUCGGUAUUUGGCGCGGGUGUGGCGAGGUUUGUCACGUCCGAACAGGUAGCCAUCGUCGAGCGUCAAGGCAUGCCUUCGCGAUCCGUAGAUCGGUCUUGCGUGUCCUGCUCUAUUGUCCAAGUCCCUCUGCAGGUCGUCUGGGUAAUCGUGACCUGCGUUGUUCUUGCCUUUACGGCGAGGUGGGGCGGUCUGGUGUUCGGCUUGAGUUGCCUCUUUAUCCGGACAGAGUUGUCGGUGACCUGCCGCUUUAUGUGACGAUGGUACGGGCUCCAACACCCCGUCAUCGGACUGGUAUAUAAUUCUGUGCUUUGGGUAGCUUUUGUCUAGGUCAUUAAGGCCGUAUUCUUCGGCGACCAAGACUUCGGUCCAUCUGUCAUUGAGUAGGUUUUGGUCUGCUUGAAGUUGCUGCUGCUUCUUUUUUAGGCUCCUUGCCGUAGCUAUUAGCCUGCGCUUGAAGCGCUCCUGUUCGAGGGGCUCUUCAGGUACGAUGAAGUCUUCGUCGCCGAGGCUUACCUCAUCUUCGGAGAGCGAAAGGUAGUUGUCGUCCUCCGAACUGUCGCUGGGCAGGGCCUGUUCAUCAGGGCUCACUUGCCUGAUUUCUUGUUCCUCCUGUUUGGAUCCUCCCGCGAUAGGGUCUUCAUUGUCCGGAGUGUUACCUUCUCUGGUGCUAGUGUUGUUUUCUUUUGAGCGACGUGGCUUAGAGCGGCGCCGGGGGCGCCGGUGUUCGGAUUGUGUCCCGGGAGGCUUAUCCUCAACUGGAUCCUCUUUGUCAUCGUCGAGAUCGUCGUUGGGUGUGUCUACCAUACACACGUCAUACCAGGAAUUGGUCGUUCCUCGUCUAGUGGAUAGUGAGUUCUGGCCUUGCCCCUCAUCGUCGUCCAUAUCGUCGAUGUCUGCAGAGCCGGGGUCAAGCGUGUUGGUUGGGUCUUCGACAGUGGCUAUGAAGUGGGUGGCGGGUGGGAAACAAAAUUCUCCAUCGUCCGCCGCCAGCUCGAACCGAACAUAGUUCGGCGGCGAGUCACCUGCCAGAGAUAGAUUUUUUAGUGAGUUUAGUACGUCGCCCAUGGGCGAGUGUCGGAAGACGUCUGCAGUGCUGAACUUGAAGAUCGAUAACCGAUCGAGUUUAGUAUCUACGGACUCACGGGGUUCGGAACUUGUCGCCGGAGACGAGUCCGGGGUUCCAUGAUACAUAUAUCAUAUGAAGUAAAAUCUGCACGAGGCUCCAACGCCGCGGAAUCGGUAGCCUCCGUGAUGGGGUUGAGCUUCCCAUCUUCGGAUGACUCGAUCUGCUCCGGCUCUAGGGCCAGAGUUGUUACAGGAGCUAUCUCCUGUAUGCGGCCCGGUGGCCGAUUUAAGCCGUGCCUAGCGGGGCGAAGGGGAGCGGUUGCCGCGGUCUCAAAUCCGUCGAAGAUCAAGUCUCCAUGGAUGUCCGCGACAUAGUUCAAGCUUCCAAAUCUGACAUGAUGGCCAGGGGCGUAGCUGUCGAUCUGCUCCAGAUGGCCAAGCGACUUGGCCCGCAGUACGAAGCCGUCGAAUACGAAGAUCUGUCUGGGGAGGAAGGUAUCUCCCUGGACGGCAUCACUAUAGACAGUCGAAGGGGCCAUCAAACCUUUCGUCGACGGCAAUGAAAGCACCAAUGUCGGUGUCAAAACCAUCGGAUCUCGGGUAGGGGUCCCGAACUGUGCGUCUAAGGUUGAUGGUUUGCAGGAGACGGGGGACACGAUGUUUACCCAGGUUCGGGCCCUCUCUAUGGAGGUAAUACCCUACUUCCUGCUUGAUUGAUCUUUAUGAAUAUGAGCAUUACAAGUGUUGAUCUACCACAAGAUCGACAUGGCUAAACCCUAGAAGUCUAGCAUGUAUGACUAAGGUAAUGAGUCUCUUCCUAUCCGGACUACGCUCUCCGGUUUAUAUAGGCACCGGAGAGAUCUAGGGUUACAUGGAGUCGGUUACAUAGAAAGGAAUCUACACGAUUGAUUGCCACGCUUGCCUUCCAUGCCAAGGAGAGUCCUGUCCGGACACGGGUGCCAUCUUUGGUCUUCGUAUCUUUACAGCCCAUCAGCCCGGCCCACGGAUAACAGGCCAGACGCCCGAGGACCCCUUACUCCAGGACUCCCUCAAGGGGGUCUCGAUGGUAAUAGGAGACGGGGGACACGAUGUUUACCCAGGUUCGGGCCCUCUCUAUGGAGGUAAUACCCUACUUCCUGCUUGAUUGAUCUUGAUGAAUAUGAGUAUUACAAGAGUUGAUCUACCAUGAGAUCGUAAUGGCUAAAACCCUAGAAGUCUAGCCUAUAUGAUUAUGAUUGCCUCUACGGACUAAACCCUCUGGUUUAUAUAGACACCAGAGGGGACUAGGGUUGUACAAAGUCGGUUACAGAGAAAGGAAUCUUCAUAUCCGAACGCCAAGCUUGCCGUCCAUGCCAAGGAGAGUCCCAUCCGGACACGGGAGAAAGUCUUUUGUCUCGUAUCUUCAUGGCCCAUCAGUCCGGCCCACGUUACAUAGUUCGGACGCCCGAGGACCCCUUAAUCCAGGACUCCCUCAGUAGCCCCUGAACCAGGCUUCAUUGACGAUGUGUCUGGCAUGCAAAUUGUCUUCGGCAUUGCAAGGCGGGUUCCUCCUCCGAAUCCUCCAAAGCAGCCUUCGAACACAGGAAACGUGUCCGGCUCUGCAAAACAAAUACCACACACAACCGCAGAGAGUACAAUAUUUCACGAGUCCAAUCUACUGGCAACUUUUUGUAGCGUGACAUCACGUCACUGCCCGGUCAUUAUUUCAAACCAUUUUUAGCCUGCCGCUCCGCGUUUCAAGAUGCGGUUUCCAUUGGUACGUCUUGUCGCAGCAGAGAUCGUGUCCCCUUAUUACGGGAUUCUCAUCAAUACGGGUGUGGGUAAUCUAACCAUGCCGUCUUCACGGCCCUUGGGAAUAGGCGAGUUUUAAGGCGAGUGGGGAGGCGCUUGAUAUUCACCGCCUUUAUAAGGAGAUAAGGAUUCCUUUCUUUCACCCACACCUUCUCUCUCUCUGCCCCCCCCAUUCUCGAGCUCCAGCGCCCAAGUUCUCAUCCUUUUCGCCUCAAAAAAGCACUCCAAUCAUGUCCGGAUCCGGAGCGCAGGGCAAGUGGAUGGUCUCCUCCGUCAAGGAGAAGGACAUCACCAAGCUCCGGGAGGCCGGGUAUUUGUCCAAGGAAGUCGCCCACCGGCUUCCGGCCAAGGGGCAGAUCGUCUCCACCACGGAGCCCCAUGAGAGGGUAGUGUUCAUCCCUCACUUCAUCCGCGGGCUGGGAUUUCCUCUCCACCCAUUCAUCCGCGGACUCAUGGUCUACUACGAGCUAGAUUUCCAUGAUCUAGCCCCAAAUUCUUUCCUCAACAUCUCGGCAUUUAUUGUCGUCUGCGAGGCUUUCCCCCGCAUCCCACCCCACUUCGGAUUGUGUCUAAAGAUCUUCAAUGUGAAGCCGAAGGUGGUGGGUGGCCAGCACGUAGAGUGCGGAGGCACCAUGGCGAGCAAGAUGCCCAAUGUCACAUUGCCCGAAGGCUCCUUCGUGGAGACCGUCAAAGGGUGGCAGCAAUUGUGGUUCUAUAUCACAGAGCCCCACGAUGCCACCUGGGCCGCGGCUCCCGAAUUCAAGUCCGGAGCCCCAAUGCGGCUCACCUCCUGGCUAGAGAAGGGCCUAAAUUGGGCUUCGUCGGACGAGCUAACAGCGCUGCAGAUGCGCAUCCAGAGGAUGGUGGACAAGAACAUCAAGCUCGUCAAUGUGAUCCAGGUGAUGCUAGUUCGCCGAAUCCUUCCAUGCCAGAGCCGGGCUUGCCAUCUAUGGGAGUUCGAUCCGGCCGAGCACCAGACCUUGCAACGGUUCUUCGGAACUACGCACGAAGAUAUCUGGAAGGUGCUCUUCAAGGCCAACGAGACGUGGCCGAAGACGACCGAGGACCGUGGGCACGACCUGGCCCAUCCUGCCGGUCUGGUAAGCCUUUCGCAUUUCAAGGUGUAUCCUUUACUUGCUUAUUCAGGGAAGAUGCCUAAGCCUCCCUAUUUAUUUUUUUAGGGCUGGACAAAGAAGGCGGAGCGGAUUCAGUAUCUGGCUCCGCCGCCCGAGGAGCCAGCCAUCCCGCUUCUGACGAAGAUGCUGGUUUCGGUGCCCUACCAGGCACCGGAGAAGAAGGCCAAGAAAAAGGCCAAGGAGACCUAAAGUGGCCUCCGCCGCAAGGGCGCUUCGGACGUGACGUCCGAAGACAUCGAGCAUCACUCCUCCGCCGUCGAGGACGACGAGGAGGACGAGCAAGAAAGCAACUCCCCCCUGAGGGGGGAAGGAAGAAGAGGGCGGCCUCCACGCGUCUGGAGGCCAAAGAGUCCAAGAAGGGGAAAGUCUCCCUCGCGGAUAACUCCGAGUGGGACAUCGAUAGCAUCCCAGAGCGGCGCCCCCGAGAUAAGACCCUGGCUGAAUCGUGAGUACUCAAAGACCAUGACGUAUUCAUAUAUCCAGCCUCUUUACUUCAUAGUUUUAACAUGCUAAAUCAUGCACUUGCAGUCCGGCUCGUUCCGUCCUCGAGCAAUCCUCAUCUUCGGGGAAUUCGCUGGACCCGAAGGUGAUGGACAGCGGGUCCCUUCCGGCGGCCUCCUCUCCCAGGGCCAUGGAUGACACCGAGGUGUUGUCCCGAAGGAUCCCAGGCCAGGGAGAGACACGGGAGGCCGUCAGGGCGGCACCGGAGGGUGAACCUAGGCUAUCGGACACAUGGGGGAGCAAAUCCCCACGAAGACUGGCGAUGGGGGCCAUAUCCAAUUCGGCCCCCAGCCGAAUACGGUCCCGGAGACCUAUACGGCUCCGGAAUCCGGCAAGCAGCCUCCUUUGAAAGGAGGAGGUGUCCCUAUUCCACCGGUGACCUAUGUCCAACCAGAGGCACCUGAUACUCUAUGGAAGCGCUGCGAAGUGCUUCCAUUGUUGAGGAACACCGUGCCCUCAUGGGUACGGUGAUUGAGAAGAUUCAGUCCGCGAAGAGCGGACUGACUGAAGCCUGCGCAAGCCUUCUAACAGGCUUUGAGGUAAGAAACGCAAUUAUGUAAAAAGAAUGUCACAGUAUGGACAGUAGCCCCUGAGACUCUGUCCGGUGUUUGGAAAGAAAAGCCGGACAGAGGAUCAAAUAAUUUUCGCAAGAGACUAACCAUACAUGUCUAUGUGAAUAAGUAGGCGUCGUUGCUGGCUGUGACCUCCCACGCUGCCGAAGUCUCCGGACAGAAGCAGAGUCUGGAGCGGACCGAGGAAGAGCUCGGCCGUGUAAAAAAUCAGCUAGAGGAUAAGCAAGGUAUGCAACGGCCUAUUCAAAUCUAGAAAGAUAUGAAUUGUUUCAUGUUGAUCACAGUAUCAUGAUAUGUCGUAGUAGUUGUGACCGAGGUGGAGACCCUCAAGGCCGCGCUGGCAGAAGCCCAGAAGAGAGCGGCGGAGGAACAAUCCGUCCGCGAAAAGGACGAGGCCGUGGUCGGGGAGGUCCAGCAAGAACUCCAGGAUGCCGUGAAGAAAUGCGAGUCCUUGGAUCGCAAGAUUGCAGAUCAAGAGUCCGAGCUUGAUAAGGCCCGCCAAAGCGCCCAAGGGGCCCGGGUUGAAGCCCAGGGCGUCCUCCAGGAAACCCAAGAGGCCAAGAAAAUCGCGGCAGGUAAGGCCUUCAUUAUGCAAAGCAAAUAUGCGAAGAAGAGGUAUCUCUUACUAACCCAGAUUUGGAGUUCUCCAGGGCGUUUGCGGAUCUGCCACGCAGUGUGUCUGACGCUGCGGAAUUCUUCCGAGCCGAAGAGGGGAGCUCAAUGGAGAAGCUGUUCUGGUCGCAAUAUCUUGCGCUGGAACAUACGGUGCCUUUUAGCGAUCAGCUAAAACAGCUGGUCGAACUGCAUAGGGUGGCCUAACUGGCCAUGAGGGAUUUGAUAAUCCGGCUGUGGCCUGCCGAAGCAAUACCCAGCAGCUACUUCGGGCUUGUGAAGCGGCUGGUCAAUGCCUACCCCCGGCUUGACGUCAUCAAGCGGUCGGUCUGCAUCGAAGGUGUGUGGAUGGCCUUCGCGCGUGUCAAGGUGCAGUGGGCAAAGAUGAACGCCGUCAAGCUCACGACCGAGGGACCACCCGCUGGCAAGGAGCACUGCACGCCCGAGCGGUAUUUUGAUGAUGUCCUGGAGGGAUCCCGCAUUGUAGCGGAGCAAUGUGCUAAGGACAUUAUUUUUGAAUUGAAUUCAUUCAUGUUAUCCUGUCCUGUAUUAUGAAACAAAGCCGUUAUGUAAUAUAAUGCUUGUUUAUUAUUUGAAAUUUUACCUCCUGUGCGGCCGUUUUUAUUAAAUCUGAGAGUUGGCCAGUCGUCGGCUUCAACCCCCAUGUAGGUAGUACGGGGGUGUUCGGGAUGAAAUCUAAACACUCUUGAUCCAAAGGCUUGGUCCUUGAAGGAGGUGUUUAGCGCAACGAACCAGGCAAUCGGACUAUGUGGCUUUAUCACCCUCACUUAGCCAUAGGAGUUUGACAAUAGAAUUUUAGGCGCAGCCCCUGGUAUUCAUAAAUCCGAACUAGGGUGCUGUAAACACCUGAUCGGGUAAAGACCGAUUCGUCGCGUAAUGCGGAAAAAAUCGCAAAAGAUUUGUAACUUCCGAACAGCUGAACGGCACACGCCGCAUCAUGACAGUCAGUUUUCGGCUUUCUCUACUAAGGUGCUCAUCCAGAUAAACCAGGACACAAUCGCAGUAGUUCUCCCUUUACUACCCUAGCCGAUAUAGAGGAAUAUAAGGUAGUAAGCACAGGAGCCGGGCAACCCAACUAUUGACCACAGACAUGAUUCGGAGCCGAUGCAUAUAAUGCUAAAAUUUGGGGUGCCGAACUAUACUGUAAAAAAGUGUUCGGACUUUGUUGCCGUAGUAUGGGGCUCAAUGAAGCCCCUGGCGAAUUAAGGCGUACCAAAGUGUACGGGUGCAAUUGAUAAGAUUAUCAAGAAAAAAUGAAGUAGUAAGCUAGUGCCGCAGAAGUUGGGCCACAAACUGUUUCCAUUAUUGUUUGAUUAAUAUGUCAAAGUGUAUUUUUACAAGUAGCGCGAUAAGCAACAGGGCUAUUUAACAUGCCACGGCCAAGGGAGAGCUGCGUGCGGGUCCUGAAAACAUGUAGGGUGGUCGUCAAAAAGACUGUCGGUGUCAAAACCGGCAGAUCUCGGGUAGGGGGUCCCGAACUGUGCAUCUAGGAUCGAUGGUAACAGGAGACGGGGGACACGAUGUUUACCCAGGUUCGGGCCCUCUCUAUGGAGGUAAUACCCUACUUCCUGCUUGAUUGAUCUUGAUGAAUAUGAGUAUUACAAGAUUUGAUCUACCACGAGAUUGUAAUGGCUAAAACUCUAGAAGCCUAGCCUGUAUGACUAUGGUAAUGUGUAUGUCCCCUAUCCGGACUACGCCCUUCGGUUUAUAUAGACACCGGAGCGAUCUAGGGUUUACAAAGAGUCGGUUACAUAAGGAAUCUUCAUAGUCGAUCGCCAAGCUUGCCUUCCAUGCCAAGGAGAGUCCAAUCCAAACACGGGUACAGUCUUCGGCCUUCAUGUCUUCAUAGCCAUCAGUCCGGCCCAUGGAUAACAGGACGGACGCCCGAGGACCCCUUAGUCCAGGACUCCCUCUGUAGCCCCUGAACCUGGCUUCAAUGACGAGGAGUCCGGCGCGCAGAUUGUCUUCGGCAUUGCAAGGCAGGUUCCCCUUUUUCCGAACUCCAAGAUAGUCUUCGGAUGCGAUGACUAGUAUCCGGACCUAUCACACACACCAUACACAACCGCAGAGAGAAUAUAUUUUUACACGAGUUCCAUCCGCUGACAACUUUUUUGCAGCACGACAUUACGUCCGACCGGUCAUAAUUCCAAACCGCUUUUGUGUUCGACGCCCCACGUCCCGAGACGCGGUUGCCAUUGGCACGUCUUGUCAAAGCAGAGAGCGUGUCCCCUUAUCACGGGAUUCUCAUCAAUGCGGGCAUGGGUAACCCAACCGUGCCGUUUAUACAGCCCUUGGGAAUAGGCGAAUCUUAAGGCGAGUGAGGAGGCAUUUAACACUCGCUGCCUUUAUAACGGGAUAAUGAUUCCCUUUUCCUCUCUCGCGCCCUCUCUCGGUCUCUGCCUUUCCAAUCUUGAGCUCCAGCGCCCAAGUUCUCAUCUCCUUGCCACUCAAGCAACCAUGUCCGGAUCCGGAGGUCAGGGCAAGUGGAUGGUCUCCUCCGUCAAGGAGGAGGACAUUACUGAGCUUCGGGCGGCCGGAUAUUUGGCGAAGGAGAUCGCCCACCGUCUGCCGGCCGAGGGACAAGUCGUCCCCAUGCCGAAGCCCACCGAGAGGGUAGUAUUCAUCCCCCAUUUCUUCCGCGGGCUAGGGUUUCCACUCCACCAUUUCGUCCGCGGCUUGAUGUAUUAUUACGGGAUAGAUUGCCAUGAUUUGUCCCCGAAUUCCUUCCUCAACAUCUCGGCGUUUAUCGUCGUGUGUGAGGCCUUCCUACGCAUCCAACCCCACUUCGGGCUGUGGCUCAAAGUCUUCAACGUGAAGCCGAAGAUGGUGGAUGGCCAGCACGCGGAGUGCGGAGGAGCCAUGGUGAGUAAGCUGUCCAACGUCUCCGGGCCCAAAGGCACUUUUGUGGACACAGUAAAGGAGUGGCAGAAGCAGUGGUUCUACAUCAUAGAAGCUCGCGGCACCACCUGGGCCGCAGCUGCCGAAUUCCGCUCCGGUGCUCCCAUGCGACUCACCCCCUGGGUCGAGAAGAGUCCGGACUGGUGUUCACCUGACGAGCUGAUAGCACUGCAGACGCGCGUUCAAAGCAUGGUGACCAAGAAUGUCAAGCUCGUCGAUGUAAUCCAGGUGAUGCUAGUUCGCCGGAUUCUUCCGUGCCAGCGCCGAAGCCGCCCUCUGUGGGAGUUCAAUUCGAAGAAGCACCAGACCUUGCUAAGACUCUUCGAGACUACUCACGAAGGUGCCUGGAAGUUGCUUUUUAAGGGCAACGAGAAGCCACCGGCCACGGAUUCAGACCGUGGUCACGAUUGUAAACACCCCGCCAGCGAGGUAUCCUAUCUCUGACGUAUCCCCAACUUAAUUGUUUCGAAGAUGAUGUCUGAGUUAAUCAUUGUGUUUUCAGGACUGGAUGGAGAGGGCGAAGCGGAUCCAGUGUCCGGCUCCGCUGCCUGAAGAACCGGUCAUCCCGCAUCUAGCAAAGAUGCUGGUGCCAGCGCCAUAUAAGGCGCCGGAGAAGAAGGCCAAGAAGAAGGCCAAGGGGGCCAAGAGUGGCCCCCGUCGCAAAGGCACUCCGGACGUGACGUCCGAAGAAGACGAAGCUCAUUCCUCUGUCCCUGAGGACAAUGAUGAGGAAGAGGAGGAGGAGGAGGAGGAAAACAACCCUCCCCCUGAGGAGAGGAAGAAGAAGAGGGCGGCUUCGGCGCAUUUGGAGGCGGAAACGCCCAAGAAGGGGAAGGGCGUCCCAGCUGUCAACACCGCGUGGGACGUUGACAGCAGUCCGGAACGACACCCCCGUACUAAGCCCCAGGCCGCAUCGUAAGUGACAUGGCCCGCUCAUGCGCACAUCCGGCCCUUUCUCUUCAUUAUCUUGACAUAGUUAACUGUACUAUUACAGUCCGGCCCGCGACCUUAUCCAGCGAUCCUCAUCUGGAGGUUCGUUGGCUCCGUCGGAGAUGGCGAGCAUGUCGCCGCCGCCUGAUUAUUCCCCCGGGGCCAGGGACGACACCGAAGUGUUGUCCCGGAGGACCGCUCCGAACCGGGGAGGAGCCCAAGACGCUGUCUGGGAGGCGCCACAAGCCGAGACCUCCACUACCGGACACAUGGGGGAGCAGAUCCCCAUGGAGACUGGCGGAGAGGGCCACAUCCAGUUCGGCCCUCAGCCGAAUACGAUUUCGGAGAUCCAUAUGGCUCCGGAGUCGGGCGAGCAGCCCGCUUUGAAGGAGGGGGGUGCGCCGCUUCCACCGGUGGCCCCUGUCCAUCCAGGGGCGCCGGAUAACCUGAUGGAGGCGCUACAAGGCGCCUCCGUCGUGGACGAGCACCGUGUCCUUAUGGAUGCGGUGAUCGAGAAGGUUCAGUCCGCCAAGAGUGGACUGAAUGAAGCCUGCAGCAACCUGCUGAUAGGUUUCAAGGUAAGAAAGAGAAAAACCCCGUGUAGACAGUAGCCCCUGAGACACUGUCCGGUGUUCGGCGAGAAGAACCUGAUAGAGGAUCAAUCUUUUGUCAUAGGAGACUGACUUAAUAUGUAUGAAUAAGUAGGCGUCACUGUUGGCCGCAACCUCGCAUACUGCCGAAGUCUCUGAACUGAAGCAGAGGCUGGAGCGGAACGAAAACGAGCUCGGCGAGGUUAGGGUGCGGCUCCGGGAGAAGCAAGGUGAGUGACGACUUGCUGUGUGUUCGGAAGGAGUAGGCGUUGUAUAUUGACCGCGGUGUCGUAAUAUAUGCAGGAGCCGCGACCGAGGUCGAGGCCCUGAGGAAGGCCCUGUGCGAGGCCGAGGAGAAGGUUGUCCAGCAGCAAGUCGCCCGUAAGAAGCUCAAGGCCCGGGUCAAAGAAGUCCAGCAGGAGCUCCAGGAUGCGGUGAAAAAAUGCGAGGCCUUGGAGCAUGAUGCGUCGGUUCAAGGGGCCGAACUCGCCAAGGCUCGUCAGAGCGCGGAGACUGCACGGAAUGAGGCCCAGGCCGCCCUCCAGGAGAUCCAGGAGGCCAAGAAGAUCACGGCGGGUAAGGCAUUUAAGAUGCAAAGCAAGUAUGCGAAGAAGCAGUACCUUUUACUAACCCGGGUUCGGAGUUCCCCAGGGGCUUUUGCGGAUUUACCACGCAGUGUAUCAGACGCCGCGGAGUUCUAUCGGGCCGAAGGAAGGGGUUCUACAGAGAAGCUAUUCUGGUCGCAGUAUGCGAUGCCAGAGCAUCCUGUGUCCUUCACCGAUCAGCUGAAACAGCUGGUGGAGCUGCAUAGGGUGGCCGAACUAGCCUUUAAGGAUGUGAUAAUCCGGCUAUGGCCAUCCGAAGCUAUGCCAGGCAGCUACUUCGGACUCAUGAGGCGGAUGGUGAACGCCUAUCCUCGGCUGGACGUCGUCAAGUGCUCGGCCUGUAUUGAAGGUGCGUGCAUGGCCUUCGCCCGUUGCAAGAUGUGGUGGGCGAAGAUGGACGCCAUCAAGAUGACCAGAGGGCCACCGAAGGGCAAGGAGCACCGCACACCUGAACGGUAUUUUGCGGAUGUCCUAGAGGGGUCUCGCCUUGCGGCAGCACAAUGUUCGCAGGACAUUGUAUUUGAAUAAAUGUAUUCAUGUUGCCUUUGACUUGUAUUAUGAAAACAAAGCCUGUUUUAUAAUGUAAUUUUGUUAUGCUUUAAUUGUUUCCUCAUGUGCGGCCAUGCUGUAUGUAAUCUGAGGGUUGGCCAGUCGUCGGCUUCUGCCCUCACGUAGGUAGUACGGAGGUGUUCGGGAUGGAAUCUAAACAAUCUUGAUCCAAUUAUAUGGUCCCUGAAGGAGUUGUUUAGCGCAACGAACAAGGCAAUCAGACUAUACGGCUUAAAUGCCCUCACUUAGCCAUAGGAGUUUUAUAAUAAAGCAUGGGUGCAGCCCCUAGUUUAGGCCAGGGUGCUGUCAGCAUCUGAUCGGGAAGUGCCGAUCUUUCGCAUAAUGCGGAAAAAAUCUCCUACGAUUUGUAACCCUCGAACAGUUGACCGGCUCUCGCCGUAUCAUGACAGUCAGCUUUCGGCUUUCUCUACUGAGGUGCUCAUCUGGUCAAGGCCAGGGCACAAUCGCAGUACUUCUCCCUUUACUACCCUAGCCGAUUCAGCGGAACAUAUGGUAGCAAGCACAGGAGCCGGGCAAACCAACUAUUGACCAAAGACAUGAUUCGAAGCCAAUGCAUAUAAUGCUAAAUUCGGGGUGCCGAACUUUUCUAUAAGAAGUGUUCGGACUUUGCUGCCGUAUUAUGGGGUGAUAGGGAGCCCUUGGCGAAUAUGAGACGUACCAAAUUGUACAGAUGCGGUUGAUAAGCAAAUCGAAAUAAAAUGAAGUAAGAAGCGAAAACCACGGAAGCUGAGCCGCAAACCAUUUUCAUUAUAUGGCUCCGUCAAGGCGUGUCUUGUAUAAAUAGUGCGAUAAGCAUCCGGGCUAUUUAACAUGCCGGAAUCAAGAGGGCGCAGCGUGUGGGUCCUGAGAAAUAAGUAGAAAUACCGUCAAGAAGAACGUAUAGAGGUUACCCUACACACCUAUGCUGCUUGCCGUCCUUGUAUGUCGAUCCUUCGAAAGGACUGGUGAUCAGGCCUGCGGGAAAAGGAACCUGAAACAAAUAAAAAGAAAAAUGGGGAAAGUACGUGUGAGUCCGGGGUCGGUCAAGCCGUACUGUGGACCACAAGCUGUGCCUCCGUCGAUGCCCAUGGGAUUUUGAGUGCGUAAUUAUGUGCGCGUGGUACGAGUGCCACUACUUGAUCAGGGUUGGGAUGGAGGCCGAAUUGCUAGUCAAGCUCUUGACGAGCCGAGUUGUCCUAUUGCAGCAUAGCCCAGACCUUCUUAACGGUGUCCAGGGGCUCGGCAGCCGGAUUACGGUUCUGCUUGAAAAGGCCGCUCUGCUGCUAGGGCGGCGGUGUGCUCCUCUGUAUGGAGGGAGCGUUCCGUAUUUCCAUUGACUGUUAUGACACCGCAUGGACUGGGCAUUUUAAGCUUGAGAUAAGCAUAGUGUGGCACCGCGUUGAAUCUAGCGAACGCGGUUCGUCCGAGCAGUGCGUGGUAGCAGCUGCGGAAGGGGACGAUAUCUAAGAUUAGCUCUUCGCUUCGGAAGUUGUCCGGAGAACCGAAGACAACCUCUAGUGUGAUUGAGCCCGUACAACGGGCCUCUACGCAUGGUAUGACUCCUUUAAAGGUAGUCUUUGUUGGUUUGAUCCAUGAGGGAUUAAUACCCAUUUUGCGCACUGUAUCCUGAUAGAGCAGGUUGAGGCUGCUACCACCGUCCAUUAGGACUCGUGUCAGAUGAAAUCCGUCGAUGGUUGGGUCGAGGACCAAUGCCGCCGAACCGCCGUGACGGAUACUAGUUGGAUGAUCUGGUCGAUCGAAGGUGAUCGGGAAUGACGACCAUGGAUUGAAUUUGGGGGCGACUGGCUCUACCGCGUAGAUGUCCCUGAGUGCGCGCUUGUGCUCCCUUUUGGGAAUGUGUGUAACAUAUAUCAUGUUCACUGUUUUGACUUGAGGGGGAAACUUCUUCCGCCCCCCAGUGUUCGGUUGCCGGGGCUCUUCGUCAUCGUCCUCACUUUGUGAUCCCUUUUCCUUGUUCUCGGCAUUUAACUUGCCGGCCUGCUUAAAAACCCAACAAUCUCUGUUGGUAUGGUUGGCUUGUUUGUCUGGGGUGCCAUGUAUCUGGCACGGACGGUCGAGUAUGCGGUCCAAGCUGGAUGGUCCCUCGCUGUUCCUUUUGUAAGUCUUCUUCCGCUGGCCGGACAUGGAACCACUGAAUCCGGCAUGAACCGUAGUGUCAUCGGUGUUAUCACCAUUGCUUCGGCAUUUGUGUCUAUUGCACCGGAGUUUGCCGGUGCUGCUUUUGGCCUCGGAGGGGCCUGCCUUGUUGGCCGUGUUUUUACUACGAGCCAGUCAACUAUCUUCACCCACACAAAAGCGGGUCAUGAGUGUCGUAAGGGCUGCCAUGGAUUUCGGCUUUUCCUGGCCGAGGUGGCGGGCGAGCCAUUCGUCACGGAUGCUGUGUUUGAAGGCCGCUAGGGCUUCUGCAUCCGGACAGUCAACGAUCUGGUUCUUUUUGGUUAGGAACCUAGUCCAGAAUUUUCUGGCUGACUCUCCAGGUUGUUGAACUAUAUGACUUAGGUCAUCGGCGUCUGGUGGCCGGACAUAAGUGCCUUGGAAGUUGUCAAGAAAAGCUUCUUCCAAGUCCUCCCAGCUGCCGAUGGAAUUUUCAGGCAGGCUGUUUUACCCGUGUCUGGCUGGCCCUUUGAGCUUUAGAGGAAGGUAUUUGAUGGCGUGGAGAUCGUCUUCUCGGGCCAUAUGGAUGUGGAGGAUGAAAUCCUCGAUCCAUACUACGGGAUCGGUUGUUCCGUCGUAUGAUUCAAUAUUGAUGGGCUUGAAACCCUCGGGAAAUUCAUGAUCCAGUACUUCAUCUGUGAAGCAGAGGGGGUGUGCGGCACCUCUAUAUCGGACCACAUCGCGACGUAGCUCUGAUGGAGUCCGCCUGCGGCAUUCGGCCCGGGCGUGGUUAGGUUUAUCACGUCCAAAUAGGUAGCUGUCGUCGUGUCUCGAGGCACGUCCUCACGAUCUGUAGAUCGAUCAUGUAUGUCCUGCUCUACUGUCCAGGGUCUGCCGGAGGUCGUACGUGUGACCCCGAAUUGUUCCGCUUCUGUUUUUACGGGGCGGUGGGGCAGGCUGCUGCUCGGCCUGAGUUGCCGCUUUAUCCCGACCGUGGGGUGGUCGGUCCGCCGCACAGUCUCGACCACGUGGUGGUCGUUCCGCAUUGCGCGAGGGAGAUAUGGGCUCAGGCGCCUCCUCAUCGAACUGAGGUAGCAGUCUGCGUUUCGGGUAGCUCUUGGCUGGGCGCUUGAGGCCAUAUUCUUCGGCUGUCAGGACAUCAGUCCAUCUAUCGAUGAGCAGAUCUUGUUCAGCUUGAAGCUGCUGCUGUUUCUUUUUCAGGCUCCUUGCGGUGGCUAUGAGCUGAAGCUUAAAGUGCUCCUGCUCCAGGGGAUCCUCAGGCACGAUGAAGUCUUCGUUGCCGAGGCUCGUCUCCUCCUUGGAGGGCGGACGGUAACUAUCGUCCUUCGAGUCUUCUUCUAUGUCAUGUUCGUCUGGGCUGGCAUGCCAUGAUUCCCGAUUGUCUCGUUCGGCGGUUUGUUCAUCGGGUUCUUCUGUGUCCUCGGCACCAUCCGGAGUGUUCUCGUCUCCUGUGCCGGUGUUGCUAUCCCUGCUGCGGCGGGACUUAGAGUGGCGCCGCUGACGACGGCGCUUUGGUUGUGUUUUAGGAGGGUCCUCCUUGGCCGGAUUUUCCUUGUCAUCGCCGCUAUUUUUCGACGUGUCUACCAUGUAGACGUCAUAUGAGGAGGUGGCCGUCCAUCGUCCAGUGAAUGGCGGGUCCUGGCCUUGCUCCUUGUCGGCAUCGUCGUCCAUACCGUCGAUGUCUUCGGAGCCAUAAUCAAGCUCAUCGAUUAAGUCAUCGACAGUGGCUAUGAAGUGGGUGGCAGGUGGGAAGCUGAAUUCUCCAUCCUCAGCCCCUAGUUCGAACCGGACAUAGUUCGGCUGUGAGUUCCCCGCCAAGGACAGGUUCUUGAAAGAGUUUAGCACAUUUCCCAAAGGUGAGUGCUGAAAGAUGUCUGCGACGCUGAAUUCGAAGAUCGAUAAACGAUCAAGUUCAGCGUCCGCGGGCGUACGCAGUUCGGAACUUAUAGCCGGAUCUGACAUGGACGGUCGAGUAUGCAGUCCAAGCUGGAUGAGCCCAGAUUGCUUUUAUAUGGCUUCUUCCACUGGCCGGACUUGGAGCCACUGAAUCCGGCGUUGACUGCCGUGUCAUCGGUAUUGUGACCAUUGCUUCGACGCUUGUGUCUGUUGCGUCGGCUUGCCGUUGCUAUUUCUGGCUUCAGAAGUGCCAGGUUCGCUUGUACUGUUAUUGCUACGGGCUAGCCAGCUAUCUUCGCCCGCGCAAAAGCGGGUCAUAAGCGCCGUGAGGGCUACCAUGGACUUCGGCUUUUCUUGGCCGAGGUGUCGGGCGAGCCAUUCGUCGCGGAUGCUAUGUUUAAAGGCCGCUAGGGCUUCGGCUUCCCGACAGUCGACGAUCUGGUUCUUUUUAGUUAAGAACCUAGUCCAGAAUUUCCUGGCUGACUCUCCAGGCUGUUGAACUAUGUGACUUAAGUUGUCGGCAUCUGGAGGUUGGACAUAUGUACCUUGGAAGUUGCCGAGGAAGGCAUCCUCCAAUUCCUCCAAGCUGCCAAUUGAGUUUUCGGGCAGACUGUUCAACCAGUGUCGAGCUGGUCCCUUGAGUUUUAGCGGGAGGUAUUUGAUGGCAUGAAGAUCAUCACCGCGGGCCAUGUGAAUAUGGAGAAGAAAAUCCUCGAUCCAUACCGCGGGGUCUGUUGUCCCAUCAUAUGAUUUGAUGUUCACGGGUUUAAACCCUUCUGGGAAUUCGUGUUCCAUGACUUCAUCAGUGAAGCAAAGGGGGUGUGCGGCGCCUCUAUAUCGGGCCAAGUCGCGGCGUAGCUCGGAUGGAGUUCGUCUGCGGUUUUCAGCCCGGGCGUGGUUAUGUUUGUCACGUCCGGCCAGGUGGCCGUCGUCGCGCAUCGGGGCACGCCCCCGCGAUCCGUAGAUCGAUAUGGUCUGACCUGCUCUGUUCUCCAGGUCCUGCCGCAGGUCAUAUGUGUAUCCCCAAGCUGCUUUAUCUCUGCCUUUACGGUGAGGUAGUACGGGCUGGUGUUCAGCUUGAGUUGCCACUUUGUCCCGACCACGUGGUGGUCGAUCAGCUGCAUUACACGCUGAUGGUACGGGCCCAAGUGCCUCGUCGUCGAAUUGAGGUAGCAAUUUGCGCUUUGGGUAACUUUUGGUUGGGCGCUCGAGGACGUAUUCCUCGGCUGCCAGGACAUUAGUCCAUCUAUCGUUGAGCAGAUCUUGAUCAGCUUGAAGCUGUUGCUGCUUCUUUUUCAGGCUCCUUGCAGUGGCUAUUAGCUGGCGCUUGAAGCGCUCCUGCUCGAGAGGUUCCUCAGGCAUGAUAAAAUCCUCGUUGCCGAGGAUCACCUCAUCCUCGGAGAGCGGAAGGUAGUUACUGUCCUCCGAGUCUUUGUUUACAGCCUGUUCAUCAGGGCUGACUCGCCCAUCUUCCCGCUCGUCUUGUUCGGAGGUUGGCUUAACGGGGUCUUCAUUGUCUUCGGCAUCGUCUAGAGUAUUGUUUUCUCCUGUGCCGGUAUUGUUGUCUUUUCCGCGGCGUGGCUUAGAGCAGCGCUGCUGACGUUAGCACUUUGGCUGUAUCUUAGGUGGCUUGUCCUCGACUGGAUCUUCCUUGUCAUCGCCGCUAUUCUCUUUGGGUGUAUCCACCAUGUACGCAUCAUACGAAGAGGUGGCCGUCCAGCGUCCGGUAAACGGCGGGUUUUGGGCCUGUUCUUCUCCGGCAUCAUCGUCCAUACCGUCGAUGUCUUCGGAGCCGUAAUUGAGCAUGUUGGUUAAGUCCUCGACAGUGGCUAUAAAGUGGGUGGUGGGUGGGACGUAAAAUUCCUUGCUCUCAGCCCCUAGUCCGGGUUGGGCAUAGUUCGAACGUUGCUUCUUUGUAAUGACAAGGGAUCGUAUUAAGUCGAGAGCCUCGCUUAAAGGCGAGGUUUGGCCCGAGAGAAGAGAGCACGUGGAGUACGACGAGAGGGAAACUCCUUGGCCGAACUCACAUGAUGCUGGUUCCGAGGAUUCGGAGCCAGUGUCCGGAGAAGGGUCCGGCUCCGUGAUGGCUGCCAGCGAUACUACUUCCCCCGGCCCUCCCACAAUGGGCCUAAUGGCCGCUGAUAGUCCGGCGAGCUCAGGGAGCCCGUCUUUGGACCUGGCGAUACGCUCCGGAUCUAAGGCCAGAGCAGAGGUUGAGGGCGCGAAUCCUUGGAAGAUCAAGUCUCCUCGGAUAUCAGCGACGUAGUCCAGAUUUCCAAAACCAAUCUGGUGUCCUGGGGCGUAGCUGUCGAUCUGCUCUAGAUGGCCAAGCGAGUUGGCCCGCAGUGCGAAGCCGCCAAACACAAAGAUCAGGCCGGGGAGGAAAGCCUCCCCCAAGGCAGCGUUGUUUUAGAUGAUUGAUGGAGCCAUCGAACCUUUUGGUGACGACGCAGCGGAACUCUCAAUGAAAGCACCAAUGUCGGUGUCAAGACUGGUGGAUCUCAGGUAGGGGGUCCCCAACUGUGCGUCUAAGGUCAAUGGUAACACGAGACGGGGGACACGAUGUUUCCCCAGGUUCGGGCCCUCUCUAUGGAGGUAGUACCCUACUUCCUGCUUGAUUGAUCUUGAUGAAUAUGAGUAUUACAAGAGUUGAUCUACCACGAGAUCGUAAUGGCUAAAACCCUAGAAGUCUAGCCUAUAUGAUUAUGAUUGCCUCUACGGACUAAACCCUCCAGUUUAUAUAGACACCGGAGGGGACUAGGGUUGUACAAAGUCGGUUACAGAGAAAGGAAUCUUCAUAUCCGAACGCCAAGCUUGUCGUCCACGCCAAGGAGAGUCCCAUCCGGACACGGGAGAAAGUCUUUUGUCUCGUACCUUCACGGCCCAUCAGUCCGGCCCACGUUACAUAGUCCGGACGCCCGAGGACCCCUUAAUCCAGGACUCCCUCACCCUCCGUGGUGAUGGGUUGUGGGGGAUGGAUCUGAGGUCCCUGCCCAGAUCCGGUGGAUGGUGGGGUUGGUGUUGGCAGCGGUGGCUGGCGGCCCAGGCGCGGUGGCGGCGAGUCUCGCGGCCUCUGGGCAUCGUGGAGGUGCCGGCGGCGGUGAGUGCUUAGCCUGGUGGUGGCGGCGGCCGUGCACGGGAGUUGGAUUCCUUCGAAUAGAUCUGGGUGAAAACUUGCUUUCGGCUAUUGCCAAGGCCGGCGGUGGCGGCGUUAUCUGCAUCGCUCCCUUCUUGAAGGCAUCGCCGUGGAGAAGUUCAAGGCCACUCUCUGCUACCUCUGAGGAAAACCCUAGAUCGGAUGAUCGGAUGACGGCGGCGAUCUAGUGUCGUUCCCCCUUUGGGCGUCAUUCUUGGAGGUGCACACGUGAUCGAGGGACUAGAGGAUGGAUUCUUUGGUGGACGGUGCUUCAUCUCACUCAUGAUGGCGGCGGAUCUCGGCGGCAUGGCGCUAUGGUGACUCGGCGUCCGAUGCGCGGAGAUGGACUCGCGCAGGAGGGUGACGCGGUCUGGCGUCGUGGUGGCAUCGACGGCAGCUAGACCGGACAAGGUAGAUGCAGCAGUAUAGUUCAGAAGAUGGAUUGGUGGCAGGUGGCUGCGGCGGCCUCAUACCCGGCAGGCGUCCUGGUUGAGGAGUGCGACGGAUGCCCCAUACCCGGCAAGCGUCCUGGAUGGGACCUCAGGUCUUAGAUGGUAGGUUUGGCUGCGAGGUAUGUUUGGUAUUAAGCCCAGACUAUCCGCAUCCCUUCAUCAAUUGGAUAGGAGUAGCGACAGAUGUUGCCUAGAUGGUGGCUUUAGUCUUACUGUUGUACUUGCUUUGUAAGGUCUUGUGUGAAUAAUUAAUAAAAUGGAUGCAUGCAUCGUUCAGAUGCAGAGGCCGGGGGUCUUCCUCCAUUUCUAAAAAAACCCUUGAGAUAUUCUAGCGGUGCCACAAUCUCGUUUCUCCAAACCCGAUGAACGCCUGCUAAUUUGUCCAUGUCGCAAAAGGCUACAGAAUGAAGAUGACUAACUUAUACGAGCAAAGUCACCCUCGAAUGAACGUUUUUUUAUUGAGGGAACGUGCCCCUGCAACGCAACUAGGAUCAGAUCGCACGAGGCGAUCAGGAGGCGACGAGGACCUUGCGCGCCGCCGGUGACGCCUCCGGUUCCCUCUCUCUCUGUCGGCCGCUCCGGCGGCGGGAGGGAGAGGGAACCUCGGGUCUGUUUGCUAGGUGGGUGUGUGGUAGGGUUAGGGUUGAGGAAGACGCUACCGAGGCCGUUGCGGUGGUGUCGCGUCGGAAUAAGUUUCUCCGGGCUCCGUUCGCGGUCAGGCGAGGCUUUUGCCUUCGACUAGGAGUCAGCGGGGUUGGGGAUCCCCGGGUCUCGUCGAGGUCGCGGGCUUUGGUGGCUGGAGGUCCAUCGGCACUGGCCGUUUGGGUCCUCAGAUGGGCGAUGGAUUCAGGGAGACAAAGAUCCUUCUUUUUCCCUGUUGGUAUUAUUUGCUGAUGUUGUUCUUCUCCUUCCUCUGUGCUGAUGCUGGUGGGAGAUCCUGCUUUGUCCGGACGGAUGGCCUGGUCGCCGUGCUGGACCUGUCGGAUGACUCGAGUUCUCUUCCCUCCGGAAGGGACACUUUUCGCGGUACUCAAAGCCAAAGAUGGCGACGGCUAUUGCACGUGUGUUGGAUUGAUGUCCAUGCCCUCUCAGCGCUGGUGUCAAGAAAAGAGGAAGCAACGUAGCGGCAAUUGUACCAUGGUCGAAGAUGAUGACCUGCUUGCGACUGGUUGCAGAUCCUUCUGCUGCAGGGGUCUUCUCUCAAGAUUCAGGGAUGAUGACACAGGGCUCCGGAGAUCUUUUUGUGUUAUAGUUGUCUUAGGGUACUCUAGGUGUUCAUGGUCCUUUGUGUUUGCGUUUCAGUGUGCUUGUAAGGGUCAACUUCUUUGUACUGAUUCGUGAUAUGAAUGAAAAAAUUCUAAAAAAAAAAGCCACCCCCGAAUGGGCCAUCCAAUGGACCGACCCAAUAGACUGCCCUAUCGACGUCUGGGUUACGCAAGACAGGUCCAAGGCCAGACCAGGCCGACCUAUUUCCAUAUUUACUGAACAGGGGUAUGAUUUUCAAUCCAUGCAUAUUUUCAUGGACAGGAAAUGAACAUCCAUUAGGCGUAAAUAUGAAUUUGAUAUUACUCGACCAUGUAUACCUGACCCAUUGCCACUCCGAUGAAAAACACUAGCUGCAAAAAAAAAAAAUCAAUCUCCUCUCCCCUCCAUUGCAGCCAUCGCUCCAGUGUCGUAAGGCGGAGGGGCGUCGAUUCCUUUCUCGGUGGUGCUUGGUGUGGUGUUGCUAAGGAGCCCGAAAGAUUUUAUCCUUGUUGUUCUUCAUGGAUAACGGGUUGGUUAUGUGUGCCUACAUGGCUACAUCGACAGGGUUCCAUGUGCAUCCGUGACUUCGACAACCUCUGACUUCAAACUUUUGCGAUGACGAUAGCCUCCUCCUCCUACUGUCGUUACACUAUAUAUAGUUGCUCCGAUCUUGUAUGGAUUGAUCCAAUGUAAAUUUAAUUUAAUUUCUGGAAAAACUGACACGUUAGUACCAUCCUUUAAUACUAAAAAUAUGUUUGGCCUAUUUUCUUCCUUUUUCAUUCCAUGCCGACACUUUCAGCUUUCAUUUUCCGAAGCAAACAUGACAGACUUUUGCUAGCGGAAAGAACGUGUUUCAGGGACUGUGUAUCCCCCGUGUGUCGUCGCUUCUACCUUGAGAACAAGCUGAGACGUGGCAUCCCGGACGCGUCCAGUAGCUGCACACGUCCGGCCUCUCUUAAUUGGCGAGUCACUAGUCACCGGCUCCCACCGGCCAACCCACUCAUGCAAGCACACGUAGCGCCUCCGGCGAUCCUAUCCCCUCGCCGCAAACGGCUUAUAAAUUGCGCCUCGUGCUGGACCUGCUUCCGCAACCACGAGCUGCAGACUAACUGAGGAAGACAACACACCAGAUUUCUGAGAUAAUCAAGAUCAACACCUGUGCAACAUGGAGCACGGCCAGGCGACGACUAACCGCGUCGACGAGUACGGCAACCCGGUGGCCGGACAUGGCGUCGGCACCGGCGCCGGCGCGGCUCACAAGACCGGAGGGAUCCUGCAGCGCUCCGGCAGCUCUAGUAGCUCCAGCUCGGUGCGUGUACAUAUACUUGUUGCUUCUUGCUAACACUAGUUGUAAUUUUUGCAUUUUUCUCGUGUACAUUUUGUAUGAAACAAUAAAUCAAUUGUCUGAUUUUUCUUCUUCCUGGUGCUAGUCUGAGGAUGAUGGCAUGGGUGGGAGGAGGAAGAAGGGCAUCAAGCAGAAGAUAAAGGAGAAGCUCCCUGGUGACCACGGUGACCAGCAGCAGACCGCUGGCACCUACGGCCAGCAGGGACACACCGGAAUGACCGGCACUGGGGCGCAUGGCACCACGGCCACUGGCGGCACCUACGGCCAGCAGGGACACGCCGGAAUGACCGGCACUGGGACGCACGGCACCGAUGGCACCGGCGAGAAGAAAGGCAUCAUGGACAAGAUCAAGGAGAAGCUUCCCGGACAGCACUGAGGCCCCCGCCCGCGGCCGCUACUUAUGAAAGUUUGAGGUGCCGGUCUGGCCACCUCUGCAGAAUAAUAGGAUGGAGAGAUACAGUUGAACUUCCCGAAAUAGAGUGAGCUACCUCACUUGUAAUAUCUGAGUUCUAAGUUUGGUGGACUUGAAUUUGGGUUGCUUGUAUGUAGCCGGGACGUUUUGUACUAUGUACUUUGAUGUGUAAAUUUUCUUUUGGUUGUACUGUGUGUGUAUGGGGAUGUAUAUCAUGGUAUAAUACA
This 38742-nucleotide long non-coding RNA is filed under the name Triticum aestivum (bread wheat). Its description in RNAcentral is "long non-coding RNA (TAES_LNC013701)". Lineage: Eukaryota; Viridiplantae; Streptophyta; Magnoliopsida; Poales; Poaceae. The record is from RNAcentral.